CGGGACGGGUGAGUAACGCGUGGGUAACCUGCCUCAUACAGGGGGAUAACGGUUAGAAAUGACUGCUAAUACCGCAUAAGCGCACAGUACCACAUGGUACAGUGUGAAAAACUACCGGUGGUAUGAGAUGGACCCGCGUCUGAUUAGCUAGUUGGUGAGGUAACGGCCCACCAAGGCGACGAUCAGUAGCCGACCUGAGAGGGUGACCGGCCACAUUGGGACUGAGACACGGCCCAG
This 237-nucleotide ribosomal RNA is filed under the name uncultured bacterium. RNAcentral describes it as "partial 16S ribosomal RNA". It matches the Rfam family "Bacterial small subunit ribosomal RNA", at positions 100 to 334 of the family's 1533-position model. The record is from RNAcentral.